Molecule: ribosomal RNA, 470 nt
Filed under: Nocardioides sp. DYW35
Lineage: Bacteria; Bacillati; Actinomycetota; Actinomycetes; Propionibacteriales; Nocardioidaceae
Description: bacterial SSU rRNA
Rfam family: Bacterial small subunit ribosomal RNA
Source: RNAcentral
GCGUGAGGGAUGACGGCCUUCGGGUUGUAAACCUCUUUCAGCACAGACGAAGCGCAAGUGACGGUAUGUGCAGAAGAAGGACCGGCCAACUACGUGCCAGCAGCCGCGGUAAUACGUAGGGUCCGAGCGUUGUCCGGAAUUAUUGGGCGUAAAGGGCUCGUAGGCGGUUUGUCGCGUCGGGAGUGAAAACACCGGGCUUAACUCGGUGCUUGCUUUCGAUACGGGCAGACUAGAGGCAUUCAGGGGAGAACGGAAUUCCUGGUGUAGCGGUGAAAUGCGCAGAUAUCAGGAGGAACACCGGUGGCGAAGGCGGUUCUCUGGGAAUGUCCUGACGCUGAGGAGCGAAAGUGUGGGGAGCGAACAGGAUUAGAUACCCUGGUAGUCCACACCGUAAACGUUGGGCGCUAGGUGUGGGAUCCAUUCCACGGGUUCCGUGCCGCAGCUAACGCAUUAAGCGCCCCGCCUGGGGA